AAAUGGUAGUACAUUAAAAUAAACGAACUUCUGAACAAAUCUUAAAACUAAAUUGGGCUAAACAAGAUAUUAAAGGUUGUAAUUUACUAAAACUCUUUUGGCAGGGGGGUGUUGUUCUUGUAUGGGCUCGGGUUGUGCAUGGGGGCACUUGGGCGCCCUAUUUUCUUAACGAGGUUCUUGGGGGUUGGUGAUCGCUUUGUUUAUGUCUGUUUGGUGGCUCCUUUCUUCGCUGUGUGUGGGGUGCUUCGUCUGUGUGGUGGAUGCACUGUCUGCCCCUAUGGUUCGUCUUCGAUUCUUGUGGGGGAUGUUUUCAGGCUGUGGGUACUUGUGUCCCUGGGUGUUCGUUCUGUGGCUCUUCCGUGUCUUGUCUCUCUGGGGUUUCUAUUGCUUCGGUGGCCGGGGCCUGGGAGGUAGCAUUUGCU
RNAcentral lists this long non-coding RNA (422 nucleotides) under Androctonus crassicauda. Lineage: Eukaryota; Metazoa; Arthropoda; Arachnida; Scorpiones; Buthidae. The record is from RNAcentral.